AGCGAACGUUAGCGGCGGGCCUAACACAUGCAAGUCGAACGCGAAAGGUCUUCGGACUGAGUAGAGUGGCGGACGGGUGAGUAACGCGUGGGAAUCUACCCUAGAGCGGGGGACAACCCGGGGAAACCCGGGCUAAUACCGCAUACGUCCUACGGGAGAAAGAAGGGCCUCUGCUUGCAAGCUCUCACUCCAGGAUGAGCCCACGUCCGAUUAGCUAGUUGGUAGGGUAAAGGCCUACCAAGGCCACGAUCGGUAGCUGGUCUGAGAGGAUGAUCAGCCACACUGGGACUGAGACACGGCCCAGACUCCUACGGGAGGCAGCAGUGGGGAAUAUUGGACAAUGGGCGCAAGCCUGAUCCAGCAAUGCCGCGUGUGUGAAGAAGGCCUGCGGGUUGUAAAAGCACUUUC
This 408-nucleotide ribosomal RNA is filed under the name uncultured bacterium. RNAcentral describes it as "bacterial SSU rRNA". It matches the Rfam family "Bacterial small subunit ribosomal RNA", at positions 29 to 437 of the family's 1533-position model. The record is from RNAcentral.